UACGUAGGGUGCAAGCGUUGUCCGGAAUUAUUGGGCGUAAAGAGCUCGUAGGCGGUGUGUCGCGUCGGCCGUGAAAACCUGCAGCUUAACUGUGGGCUUGCGGUCGAUACGGGCAUCACUGGAGUUCGGCAGGGGAGACUGGAAUUCCUGGCGUAGCGGUGAAAUGCGCAGAUAUCAGGAGGAACACCGGUGGCGAAGGCGGGUCUCUGGGCCGAUACUGACGCUGAGGAGCGAAAGCGUGGGGAGCAAACAGG
Molecule: ribosomal RNA, 254 nt
Filed under: uncultured bacterium
Lineage: Bacteria
Description: partial 16S ribosomal RNA
Rfam family: Bacterial small subunit ribosomal RNA
Source: RNAcentral